ACUCCCUCCUGGGGGAUGCAUCAGAAAGCCUCUAGGAAGAGAAACAAGAUCGACUGAAGGACGUUCUUUCCAGAACAAGCAGGAUAAAAAGCAUCCCAUGGCCAGGCAGUGGUGGCGCACGCCUUUAAUCUCAGCAAUUGGGAGGCAGAGGCAGAGGAUUUCUGAGUUCGAGGACAGCCUGGUCUACAAAGCCCACCAGCCCAGGACCGAACAGCUCACAGUGGGCUGGGUUGCCCCACAUAAUCAGCAACUGUGAAUGCCGCAUAGACACGUGAGCACGGUCUUGCCAACCAAUCGGAUGGAAGAAUUCCUCAGUUGAGAUGCCCUCUUCCCAGGCCAUAGUCCAGGAGGAAACUUGACUGCAAAAGUUGAAUUAAGGACCUUGAAGACAUGAGCCCUGGAUACAGUCCAGUCUCCAAGCAUGGGUGUUCCCUUUUUUAACCUGUAAUGUCAAAAUACAGUUGGGUAGCACUGCAGCUUCCCGCGCACCCCUUUUGUGUUCCUGUCCUUUAAAAAUGCUAUACAAUCUCCCUUUAGGGACUUGGUUUAGGUCUCGAGCUAACCACCUCCCUGCGUGCUCAGAAAAUAAAGCUGUCAUUUGUAA
Molecule: long non-coding RNA, 604 nt
Organism: Mus musculus (house mouse)
Lineage: Eukaryota; Metazoa; Chordata; Mammalia; Rodentia; Muridae
Product: predicted gene, 30963
Exons: 4
Source: RefSeq, marked validated